AACAACUUUGUCACCUACUUAUGCCCUGGGUUCCUGCCUGACCUCGUCUCUCUCUGGCCAGGCUGUCCUCACUCAGUGUCAGCCAGUUCCCCAAGCCAUGGCAUUGCUGUGUCAAUGGGUCCUAGCCCUGUGUCUUGGUUAGCAGGUGCCACUGCCUUCAAGGAAACUUCAUGCAUGAAAACGGAGGUCAUCUAACUGAGCCGCUGUUCUUUUCCUUUUCUUCGUCUUCACAAGGAACCAAAAGGAAAUGUAUAAAUUGAGAAUUAAAUUUCAUAACCAAAGAAUUACAAAAAGUAUAUUGACCCUAUUUAAUAAAGGAUUAUCAU
Molecule: long non-coding RNA, 326 nt
Filed under: Chinchilla lanigera (long-tailed chinchilla)
Lineage: Eukaryota; Metazoa; Chordata; Mammalia; Rodentia; Chinchillidae
Description: lncRNA (ENSCLAG00000027586.1)
Source: RNAcentral